UAGCAAUACUCUAGCGGCGAACGGGUGAGUAAUGCCUAGGAAUCUGCCUCGUAGUGGGGGACAACGUUUCGAAAGGAACGCUAAUACCGCAUACGUCCUACGGGAGAAAGUGGGGGAUCUUCGGACCUCACGCUAUGAGAUGAGCCUAGGUACGAUUAGCUAGUUGGUGGGGUAAAGGCUCACCAAGGCGACGAUCGUUAACUGGUCUGAGAGGAUGAUCAGUCACACUGGAACUGAGACACGGUCCAGACUCCUACGGGAGGCAGCAGUGGGGAAUAUUGGACAAUGGGGGAAACCCUGAUCCAGCCAUGCCGCGUGUGCGAAGAAGGCCUUCGGGUUGUAAAGCACUUUAAGCAGGGAGGAAGGUUUGCUGGAUAAUACCUGGCAAAAUUGACGUUACCUGCAGAAUAAGCACCGGCUAACUCUGUGCCAGCAGCCGCGGUAAUACAGAGGGUGCAAGCGUUAAUCGGAAUUACUGGGCGUAAAGCGCGCGUAGGCGGUUACGUAAGUUGGAGGUGAAAUCCCCGGGCUUAACCUGGGAACGGCCUCCAAAACUGCGUGGCUAGAGUAUGGGAGAGGGAGGUGGAAUUCCGGGUGUAGCGGUG
RNAcentral lists this ribosomal RNA (605 nucleotides) under uncultured bacterium. RNAcentral describes it as "bacterial SSU rRNA". It matches the Rfam family "Bacterial small subunit ribosomal RNA", at positions 82 to 683 of the family's 1533-position model. The record is from RNAcentral.